RNAcentral lists this ribosomal RNA (1522 nucleotides) under Salmonella enterica. Its description in RNAcentral is "bacterial SSU rRNA". It matches the Rfam family "Bacterial small subunit ribosomal RNA". Lineage: Bacteria; Pseudomonadati; Pseudomonadota; Gammaproteobacteria; Enterobacterales; Enterobacteriaceae. The record is from RNAcentral.
AGAGUUUGAUCAUGGCUCAGAUUGAACGCUGGCGGCAGGCCUAACACAUGCAAGUCGAACGGUAACAGGAAGCAGCUUGCUGCUUUGCUGACGAGUGGCGGACGGGUGAGUAAUGUCUGGGAAACUGCCUGAUGGAGGGGGAUAACUACUGGAAACGGUGGCUAAUACCGCAUAACGUCGCAAGACCAAAGAGGGGGACCUUCGGGCCUCUUGCCAUCAGAUGUGCCCAGAUGGGAUUAGCUUGUUGGUGAGGUAACGGCUCACCAAGGCGACGAUCCCUAGCUGGUCUGAGAGGAUGACCAGCCACACUGGAACUGAGACACGGUCCAGACUCCUACGGGAGGCAGCAGUGGGGAAUAUUGCACAAUGGGCGCAAGCCUGAUGCAGCCAUGCCGCGUGUAUGAAGAAGGCCUUCGGGUUGUAAAGUACUUUCAGCGGGGAGGAAGGUGUUGUGGUUAAUAACCACAGCAAUUGACGUUACCCGCAGAAGAAGCACCGGCUAACUCCGUGCCAGCAGCCGCGGUAAUACGGAGGGUGCAAGCGUUAAUCGGAAUUACUGGGCGUAAAGCGCACGCAGGCGGUCUGUCAAGUCGGAUGUGAAAUCCCCGGGCUCAACCUGGGAACUGCAUUCGAAACUGGCAGGCUUGAGUCUUGUAGAGGGGGGUAGAAUUCCAGGUGUAGCGGUGAAAUGCGUAGAGAUCUGGAGGAAUACCGGUGGCGAAGGCGGCCCCCUGGACAAAGACUGACGCUCAGGUGCGAAAGCGUGGGGAGCAAACAGGAUUAGAUACCCUGGUAGUCCACGCCGUAAACGAUGUCUACUUGGAGGUUGUGCCCUUGAGGCGUGGCUUCCGGAGCUAACGCGUUAAGUAGACCGCCUGGGGAGUACGGCCGCAAGGUUAAAACUCAAAUGAAUUGACGGGGGCCCGCACAAGCGGUGGAGCAUGUGGUUUAAUUCGAUGCAACGCGAAGAACCUUACCUGGUCUUGACAUCCACAGAACUUUCCAGAGAUGGAUUGGUGCCUUCGGGAACUGUGAGACAGGUGCUGCAUGGCUGUCGUCAGCUCGUGUUGUGAAAUGUUGGGUUAAGUCCCGCAACGAGCGCAACCCUUAUCCUUUGUUGCCAGCGGUCAGGCCGGGAACUCAAAGGAGACUGCCAGUGAUAAACUGGAGGAAGGUGGGGAUGACGUCAAGUCAUCAUGGCCCUUACGACCAGGGCUACACACGUGCUACAAUGGCGCAUACAAAGAGAAGCGACCUCGCGAGAGCAAGCGGACCUCAUAAAGUGCGUCGUAGUCCGGAUUGGAGUCUGCAACUCGACUCCAUGAAGUCGGAAUCGCUAGUAAUCGUGGAUCAGAAUGCCACGGUGAAUACGUUCCCGGGCCUUGUACACACCGCCCGUCACACCAUGGGAGUGGGUUGCAAAAGAAGUAGGUAGCUUAACCUUCGGGAGGGCGCUUACCACUUUGUGAUUCAUGACUGGGGUGAAGUCGUAACAAGGUAACCGUAGGGGAACCUGCGGUUG